This 155-nucleotide ribosomal RNA is filed under the name Ceratobasidium sp. AG-K. RNAcentral describes it as "5.8S rRNA". It matches the Rfam family "5.8S ribosomal RNA". From Rfam's summary of the family: 5.8S ribosomal RNA (5.8S rRNA) is a component of the large subunit of the eukaryotic ribosome. It is transcribed by RNA polymerase I as part of the 45S precursor that also contains 18S and 28S rRNA. Functionally, it is thought that 5.8S rRNA may be involved in ribosome translocation. The record is from RNAcentral. Lineage: Eukaryota; Fungi; Basidiomycota; Agaricomycetes; Cantharellales; Ceratobasidiaceae.
AAGUUUCAACAACGGAUCUCUUGGCUCUCGCAUCGAUGAAGAACGCAGCAAAAUGCGAUAAGUAAUGUGAAUUGCAGAAUUCAGUGAAUCAUCGAAUCUUUGAACGCACCUUGCGCUCCUUGGUAUUCCUUGGAGCAUGCCUGUUUGAGUAUCAU